Mesocricetus auratus (golden hamster) is the source of this 98-nucleotide small nuclear RNA. NCBI's taxonomy places the organism in Eukaryota, Metazoa, Chordata, Mammalia, Rodentia, Cricetidae. The record is from Ensembl.
GUGCUCAACUCCAACCCAUAUGCACUAAAACUGGAAUGAGAUUAGCAUGGCCCCUUUGCAAGGAUGACAUGAAAACUGGUGACGUAGUCCAUAUUUUU